CUACCUGAUGCAAAGAGCUGACUCACUAGAAAAAACACUGAUGCUGGCUGGCAAAGAUUGACGGCAGGAGAAGGGGACGACAGAGGAUAAGUUGGUAGCAUCACUGACAAUGGACAUGAGUUUUGACAUCGGGAACUGGUGGACAUCCACAAGAUGGUGAAGGACAGGGAAGCCUGGUGUGCUGCAGUACACAGGGUCGCAGAGUCGGACACAACUGAGCGACUGAACACCACCACCUUUGUAUCAAGUACUGCAAAGAAAAUAAUAUGGAAAGAAUGCAAGUAUUGAUACUAAUUAGGUAAAGUAUUUGCAAAUGGUUAAAGCAGAUCUAACUGAAGAUGCAACUGAGAAUGAAAAGGUGUGUAUGUGGGAAUAUGGUUAUAUAAGGAAUGUCUACUUUUCCACUUAGUUUUGCUAUGAACCUAAAACUGCUCUUUAAAAGAAAGUUAAAAAAAAAACCUAAAAUGUGGACAGUGGUUUGACUUAAUAGAUUGACAAGGUAUGUCCCUUAACCAUGAAUCUAAUAAUACUAAGUUUGAUAUAAAACCCCCUAAAUAUAUUUGCUGUGAGAGAAUAUUAAUCUGUGUAUGAACAGUUAUAUGCAUUACCAUACCAAUAAAUUUCCCAAAACAUCAUUUAAAUAUAGUUACAUUCUCAAAGGGUUACUCUGAGAAGAUAAUGUCACUUUCCCAGUUGAUUUUAAACAGGUUUCUUUUCAUUCUAUCUUAUUUGAAUGCUACAGUAGGCAUCGACUAUGAGAUGCUCCAAGGAAGACAACUGGGAAUCUUAAGUAUAAAUUUUACUACAGGCCUUGCUUUCUCCAAUAGGAGGAACUGAAGAAGCAGGCAUGGGACUUCCCUGGUGGUUCAGUGGUUAAGAUUCUGCACUUACAAUGCAGGAUGUGUGAGUUUGAUCCCUCUUGGGGGAACUUAAGAUACCACGUGCCACACUGCCAAAAACACAAAAAGAGCUGCCGUUCUGUGCCAUCUCUUAAGGGGUGCUGGUAGUGCCAUCAUGCUGAAAUGGAGAAAGAUCCUGACAACAGCCAUCUCUUGUCACAUUACACACUUUCAUUACUAACUUAUGACUUCCCUGCUGUGGACUUAGAGCCAUUAGAAAACUAGGAAGGUUCAAGAUUAAGAGCAAUUUCAGAUAUUAAUCUGAAGUAAUGUGUGUAAGAAAAAAACAGGGCAAGCAUGAAAACUGGAAAGCCAAGAUAUUGGUAAUAUACUGCAUUUGUGAGUUUAUUAAGUCUUAAAAGAGUACUAUGUUAACAGGGUUUCCCAGGUGGUGAAGUGGUAAAGAAUCCACUUGCCAAUGCAGGCGAUCAAAGAGAUGUGGGUUUGAUCCCUGGGUCAGGAAGAUCCCCUGGAGUAGAAAAUGGCAACCCACUCCAGUAUUCUUGCUUGAGAGACCCCAUGGAGAGAGUAGCCUGCUGAGCUAAUAGUCCUUGAGGUUGCAGAGUCAGACAUGACUGAGCAUACAUCCACACAUAAAAUAUGUUAUCAGUAAUUAGUAGUGAUGUAAUAGAAGUAACAGAUCAGAGACAUUGCUAAGGAAUUCAUUGGCUGAAUCACUGAUGGAAGCAUCCCAGAUGACUAGGGGGUCUGGAUCUAGGUACCUGGAGAAUAGUAGAUGCUAAAGAGAAAAAAAACUGGCACGCACGCACGCGCACACACACACACACACACACACACACACACACACACACAUAUAUAUAUACAGGAUAACUUUUAAAGUUUAAGAAAAACCUUCAGUCAAGAUUUAGGAAAAUCCACAGAGGGUUUUCAAGGGGAAAUGGGGUCAACAUAAGGCACAAUUGUAUAACAGUAAUUACCACUGGUGUGGGAGUUAAUGAACUAUUAUGCCUCUUAAGUGUUUUCACAUCUGUUGUAAAGUGUUGAUAUGUAUCUGAACUUACACUGCCUACAGCUCAUGAAAUGGAUGCCCGUGGAGUAGAAGACACUGUGCCAAGAACUUACAGCAAGGAAUGAAAAACUCAAGUGGUAGAUUUAUAUGCAAAUAUACGUUGACCCUGGUGCCUCAUUCGAUGCGGAACUGGAAGAGGACGAAGUAGGUGCAUCUUUCCUGGUAUGUCGAAUAAGGUGGGCUCGCAAGGAGGCACUGUACUGAAACUGUUUCUUACACAACUAAAAGAAAAAGUAAGUUCUGCCUCAAUGUAUUUUCAUUACAAAUGUUAAGUGAAAUGCAACUCAUAUUUCAACUUGC
This is a long non-coding RNA of Bubalus bubalis (water buffalo), 2229 nucleotides long. RefSeq lists it as uncharacterized. The transcript has 2 exons. NCBI's taxonomy places the organism in Eukaryota, Metazoa, Chordata, Mammalia, Artiodactyla, Bovidae. The record is from RefSeq and is a predicted model, not a curated record.